AACGAACGCUGGCGGCAUGCCUAAUACAUGCAAGUCGAACGAGAUCUUCGGAUCUAGUGGCGCACGGGUGCGUAACGCGUGGGAAUCUGCCCUUGGGUUCGGAAUAACUUCUGGAAACGGAAGCUAAUACCGGAUGAUGACGUAAGUCCCAAGAUUUAUCGCCCCAGGAUGAGCCCGCGUAGGAUUAGCUAGUUGGUGGGGUAAAGGCCCACCAAGGCGACGAUCCUUAGCUGGUCUGAGAGGAUGAUCAGCCACACUGGGACUGAGACACGGCCCAGACUCCUACGGGAAGCAGCAGUAGGGAAUAUUGGACAAUGGGCGAAAGCCUGAUCCAGCAAUGCCGCGUGAGUGAUGAAGGCCUUAGGGUUGUAAAGCUCUUUUACCCGGGAUGAUAAUGACAGUACCGGGAGAAUAAGCUCCGGCUAACUCCGUG
This 433-nucleotide ribosomal RNA is filed under the name uncultured bacterium. Its description in RNAcentral is "partial 16S ribosomal RNA". It matches the Rfam family "Bacterial small subunit ribosomal RNA", at positions 29 to 507 of the family's 1533-position model. The record is from RNAcentral.